UACGUAGGGGGCAAGCGUUGUCCGGAUUUAUUGGGCGUAAAGAGCGUGUAGGCGGCCAGGUAGGUCUGCUGUGAAAACUCGAGGCUUAACCUCGAGAUGUCGGCGGAAACCAUCUGGCUAGAGUCCGGAAGAGGAGAAUGGAAUUCCCGGUGUAGCGGUGAAAUGCGCAGAUAUCGGGAAGAACACCCGUGGCGAAGGCGGUUCUCUGGGACGGUACUGACGCUGAGGAGCGAAAGCGUGGGGAGCGAACAGG
Molecule: ribosomal RNA, 253 nt
Filed under: uncultured bacterium
Lineage: Bacteria
Description: partial 16S ribosomal RNA
Rfam family: Bacterial small subunit ribosomal RNA
Source: RNAcentral